RNAcentral lists this ribosomal RNA (562 nucleotides) under Streptomyces roseolilacinus. RNAcentral's name for it is "bacterial SSU rRNA". It matches the Rfam family "Bacterial small subunit ribosomal RNA", at positions 278 to 850 of the family's 1533-position model. Lineage: Bacteria; Bacillati; Actinomycetota; Actinomycetes; Kitasatosporales; Streptomycetaceae. The record is from RNAcentral.
GACGGGUAGCCGGCCUGAGAGGGCGACCGGCCACACUGGGACUGAGACACGGCCCAGACUCCUACGGGAGGCAGCAGUGGGGAAUAUUGCACAAUGGGCGAAAGCCUGAUGCAGCGACGCCGCGUGAGGGAUGACGGCCUUCGGGUUGUAAACCUCUUUCAGCAGGGAAGAAGCGCAAGUGACGGUACCUGCAGAAGAAGCGCCGGCUAACUACGUGCCAGCAGCCGCGGUAAUACGUAGGGCGCAAGCGUUGUCCGGAAUUAUUGGGCGUAAAGAGCUCGUAGGCGGCUUGUCGCGUCGGAUGUGAAAGCCCGGGGCUUAACCCCGGGUCUGCAUUCGAUACGGGCAGGCUAGAGUGUGGUAGGGGAGAUCGGAAUUCCUGGUGUAGCGGUGAAAUGCGCAGAUAUCAGGAGGAACACCGGUGGCGAAGGCGGAUCUCUGGGCCAUUACUGACGCUGAGGAGCGAAAGCGUGGGGAGCGAACAGGAUUAGAUACCCUGGUAGUCCACGCCGUAAACGUUGGGAACUAGGUGUUGGCGACAUUCCACGUCGUCGGUGCCGCA